Molecule: long non-coding RNA, 451 nt
Organism: Labrus mixtus (cuckoo wrasse)
Lineage: Eukaryota; Metazoa; Chordata; Actinopteri; Labriformes; Labridae
Exons: 2
Source: RefSeq, a predicted model, not a curated record
AUUCCAGAAAGCAUCUCUGGAAUGCACAUUGCGUGACACAGAGGCACAAUACUCUAUGCAGCUCCAAGGCCUCCAGAAUCAGGUGUGCAGCCUGGAAGGCCAGCUGGAACAGCUUCGUGGUGAUAUCGAAAAACCAGAGCCAAGAAUACAGAAUGUUGCUCGACAUCAAGACUCGAUUGGAGAUGGAAAUUGUAGAGUACAGGAGGCUUUUGGAUGGAGAGGGCAGUAUGAUUUGUGGCAGCAGUUCAAGGAGCACCACCACAAAGGUGAUAGUGGUCACAGAGGAGUUGAAGGAUGGCAAGGUGGUGUCCUCCACCACCACCUCUUAAUCUGCCUCAGGAAGCAAAACAUGGAGCAACAACUGAGAGCCACAAGCACAACACCUGAACCAAAAUGUCCUUCACAUACUCAUGUGAAUGCAAUAAAAAGCUGCACGUUUGCUCCCUUCUAA